UUUGGAUCAAAGUUGAAGAAAGUCUGAUACCUUCUAACCAUUUUGAUUUUGUGUCUUUCAAGGAUGUCUUGGACUCGGACAGAGAGGAUAAGUACUUAGAUGUUAUUGGACACGUUGUGGAAAGGGAUGAAAUACAAGACAAAGAAAUCAAUGGAUCUAAGAGCAAGCUGCUUUACAUUACAUUGGAAAAUUCUGAGUGAGUGCUUUUGGACCUAA
This 216-nucleotide long non-coding RNA is filed under the name Medicago truncatula (barrel medic). Its description in RNAcentral is "lncRNA gene3742". Lineage: Eukaryota; Viridiplantae; Streptophyta; Magnoliopsida; Fabales; Fabaceae. The record is from RNAcentral.